This 1199-nucleotide long non-coding RNA is filed under the name Homo sapiens (human). Its description in RNAcentral is "non-protein coding lnc-PCED1B-5:23". The record is from RNAcentral. Lineage: Eukaryota; Metazoa; Chordata; Mammalia; Primates; Hominidae.
AUUUAUACUCCAGUUUCAGUUCCGUUGAUUCAAAGUUUUGGGACUUAGGACAAGUUUGCUAGCUUCUCUGAGCCUCAGUUUUUUAAACCGUUAAAUAGGAAUAACAGCAUGCUGAGUGCCAAGAAUUAAAGAAAAAUUUAUGUGAAAAUAUAGAUUAGAAAGAAAACUAAUAUAAAUGCAGGGGAUUAUGAUCAUAAUACUCAUAAAACUUCAGUACUCCCUGGGAAGAUCCAAUGGCCGUCAGUCAUGUGCACGUGAUCAGAAUCUGGGCCAUCAUAUUUUUUUAAGCAAGUUGAUGGCCUGAGGGUUCUUGGCCAGGUGGGAGGAGGCUGCUCUGGGAUGUUGAAGAGAGAUUUUAAAAAGGAGAUGGAAGGCUGUGAAAACAUAGUUCAAAUUGGAGGGAGCUUGGGCAGAUACCACCUUUUCUUUUAAGGAAUGAAUGUAAUUGCUUGCAUUUUGUCUCUACUUCCUUCCUCUCAUUGAUUUAUUCCGAAGGCUAGAGUUUCUACUUUACAUUCUAAUUCAUCUGACAUAGCGUGUUUUUAAAAAACUUAGCAUUGCUUGCUUUGAUUUUCCAGUUGACUUUUGCUGAUGGAGCCUCUCUGAAGGGCAAAUUCAAAGUACAGCUGGGUGCUGCAGCACUGGAGUGCGAACUUGUGGCUGUGGUUAUGAAGGAGCCUCGUCAGCUAUGCCUUUAGCCCCUGGUGAAGCAGUGCCAGUCACACUUUGCCAGUCAAACGGAGAGGCAGCAGUAGUAAGACCAGACCAAAUCAAACCAAACCAAGCAAACCACGGGGAAUGGAGAUUAUUGCCUGCUCCUCCAAGCCCUUCACUGUAGAAUGGAAGCCUGUGAUUUUCCUGGCAUCAUGCAUGACUGAGAAGGUCAGUGUGGCUAAUUCUGAGCUUCAACAUCAGGAAACCCGUAGUUCUUCACACUGAGCCGCCUCCUGCAGCACAGUCAUCCUUGGCUUAACACCACAUGGAAGCCACCAAGACUUAUGACUUGCAUCCUCCUGAAGAGUGGCUCAAACUGUACCUGAGGCCCUUUGAGCUGCAGCUGGAGCCAGGAGCUGGGACGCAGAGAGGAGUGUCCUGAGGCUGCAAGGGCAGCAGAGCCCUGGGUGUGGCCCCCAAAACCAUUCUUUCCCCUAGGCCUCUGGACCUGCAAUGGGAGGAAAUGCCUAAAAGAUCUCUGAAAU